Molecule: ribosomal RNA, 440 nt
Filed under: uncultured bacterium
Lineage: Bacteria
Description: partial 16S ribosomal RNA
Rfam family: Bacterial small subunit ribosomal RNA
Source: RNAcentral
CCUACGGGUGGCAGCAGUGGGGAAUAUUGGACAAUGGGGGGAACCCUGAUCCAGCGACGCCGCGUGAGUGAAGAAGUAUUUCGGUAUGUAAAGCUCUAUCAGCAGGGAAGAAAAUGACGGUACCUGACUAAGAAGCCCCGGCUAACUACGUGCCAGCCGCCGCGGUAAUACGUAGGGGGCAAGCGUUAUCCGGAUUUACUGGGUGUAAAGGGAGCGUAGACGGCAGCGCAAGUCUGGAGUGAAAUGCCGGGGCCCAACCCCGGGACUGCUUGGGAAACUGCGAGGCGGGAGUGCAGGAGAGGUAGGCGGAAUUCCUGGUGUAGCGGUGAAAUGCGUAGAUAUCAGGAGGAACACCGGGGGCGAAGGCGGCUUGCUGGACUGUAACUGACGUUGAGGCUCGAAGGCGUGGGGAGCAAACAGGAUUAGAUACCCUGGUAGUC